Molecule: ribosomal RNA, 688 nt
Filed under: Enterobacter cancerogenus
Lineage: Bacteria; Pseudomonadati; Pseudomonadota; Gammaproteobacteria; Enterobacterales; Enterobacteriaceae
Description: bacterial SSU rRNA
Rfam family: Bacterial small subunit ribosomal RNA
Source: RNAcentral
UGGGGAGCAAACAGGAUUAGAUACCCUGGUAGUCCACGCCGUAAACGAUGUCGACUUGGAGGUUGUGCCCUUGAGGCGUGGCUUCCGGAGCUAACGCGUUAAGUCGACCGCCUGGGGAGUACGGCCGCAAGGUUAAAACUCAAAUGAAUUGACGGGGGCCCGCACAAGCGGUGGAGCAUGUGGUUUAAUUCGAUGCAACGCGAAGAACCUUACCUACUCUUGACAUCCAGAGAACUUAGCAGAGAUGCUUUGGUGCCUUCGGGAACUCUGAGACAGGUGCUGCAUGGCUGUCGUCAGCUCGUGUUGUGAAAUGUUGGGUUAAGUCCCGCAACGAGCGCAACCCUUAUCCUUUGUUGCCAGCGGUCCGGCCGGGAACUCAAAGGAGACUGCCAGUGAUAAACUGGAGGAAGGUGGGGAUGACGUCAAGUCAUCAUGGCCCUUACGAGUAGGGCUACACACGUGCUACAAUGGCGCAUACAAAGAGAAGCGACCUCGCGAGAGCAAGCGGACCUCAUAAAGUGCGUCGUAGUCCGGAUUGGAGUCUGCAACUCGACUCCAUGAAGUCGGAAUCGCUAGUAAUCGUGGAUCAGAAUGCCACGGUGAAUACGUUCCCGGGCCUUGUACACACCGCCCGUCACACCAUGGGAGUGGGUGCAAAAGAAGUAGGUAGCUUAACCUUCGGGAGGGC